This 510-nucleotide ribosomal RNA is filed under the name uncultured bacterium. Its description in RNAcentral is "partial 16S ribosomal RNA". It matches the Rfam family "Bacterial small subunit ribosomal RNA", at positions 28 to 507 of the family's 1533-position model. The record is from RNAcentral.
GACGAACGCUGGCGGCGUGCUUAACACAUGCAAGUCGAACGAAGAGCGAUGGAAGCUUGCUUCUAUCAAUCUUAGUGGCGAACGGGUGAGUAACGCGUAAUCAACCUGCCCUUCAGAGGGGGACAACAGUUGGAAACGACUGCUAAUACCGCAUACGAUCUAAUCUCGGCAUCGAGGAUAGAUGAAAGGUGGCCUCUACAUGUAAGCUAUCACUGAAGGAGGGGAUUGCGUCUGAUUAGCUAGUUGGAGGGGUAACGGCCCACCAAGGCGAUGAUCAGUAGCCGGUCUGAGAGGAUGAACGGCCACAUUGGGACUGAGACACGGCCCAGACUCCUACGGGAGGCAGCAGGGGGGAAUCUUCCGCAAUGGACGAAAGUCUGACGGAGCAACGCCGCGUGAGUGAUGACGGCCUUCGGGUUGUAAAGCUCUGUUAAUCGGGACGAAAGGCCUUCUUGCGAACAGUUAGAAGGAUUGACGGUACCGGAAUAGAAAGCCACGGCUAACUACGUG